This 45-nucleotide non-coding RNA is filed under the name Trichobilharzia regenti. Lineage: Eukaryota; Metazoa; Platyhelminthes; Trematoda; Strigeidida; Schistosomatidae. The record is from RNAcentral.
AUCCGACUAGCGAGUCCCAAAUAGGAGGAAAUGCGCAUCUUGGAU